CCUGCCCCUAGAGGUGUAGCCGGUGUGGCUGCUGUGUCCCAGGUGCAUCGGUAGGUGGCAGAGAGGAGAGAAGCUAUGGCUAUGCUCAGUUUCCUGACCUGUAAACAUCUGAAUGAUGAGUAGUUUAACCAC
Small nucleolar RNA from Acomys russatus (golden spiny mouse), 132 nucleotides. RefSeq annotates it as small nucleolar RNA SNORA17. NCBI's taxonomy places the organism in Eukaryota, Metazoa, Chordata, Mammalia, Rodentia, Muridae. The record is from RefSeq and is a predicted model, not a curated record. The transcript has a single exon.